GAGGGAACACGUUUUAUCUUUCAAAAUAGGUAUAUAUCAUUUUACCCCUUUAAUUGACAUUCAAAACUAAAAAUAAUUAAAAGUUGGUGUGGUGUAUUAGCGAAAGCAAAAUUACAUAAAUCACACGGUUACAUGAUCAUAAUAUAACAAGUAAAACCGGCACACCACGAGCAUGUAUGUAAUGUACGUCCAUGCAUGCAUUUUAUUCAUUACAUCUUAAUUAGGCUUAAUUAUAUAUAAGGCUGCCUUGCUUAGUUGUGAGUGUCGACCUCCGUCUUUUUAUCACCAGACGCUGCAACCGCCGGCGGGGCGGGGUAACCUCCAUUUCUGCCUCCCGGAAAACCUCCACUUCCGCCGCCGGGAAAACCUCCAUUACCGCCAUUUCCGCCGCCGGGAAAACCUCCAUUACCGCCAUUUCCGCCGCCAGGAAAACCUCCAUAACCACCUCCCGGAAAACCUCCAUUUCCGCCGCCGGGAAAACCUCCAUUACCGCCGCCGGGAAAACCUCCAUUUCCGCCGCCGGGAAAACCNNNNNN
This 536-nucleotide long non-coding RNA is filed under the name Salvia miltiorrhiza (redroot sage). RNAcentral describes it as "long non-coding RNA (SMIL_LNC008507)". The record is from RNAcentral. Lineage: Eukaryota; Viridiplantae; Streptophyta; Magnoliopsida; Lamiales; Lamiaceae.